This 73-nucleotide transfer RNA is filed under the name Pirellula sp. SH-Sr6A. Its description in RNAcentral is "tRNA-Cys". It matches the Rfam family "tRNA". Rfam says of the family: Transfer RNA (tRNA) molecules are approximately 80 nucleotides in length. Lineage: Bacteria; Pseudomonadati; Planctomycetota; Planctomycetia; Pirellulales; Pirellulaceae. The record is from RNAcentral.
GGCUCCGUAGCCAAGUGGCUAAGGCAGCGGAUUGCAAAUCCGCCAUCGUGGGUUCAACUCCCACCGGAGCCUC